Molecule: ribosomal RNA, 433 nt
Filed under: uncultured bacterium
Lineage: Bacteria
Description: partial 16S ribosomal RNA
Rfam family: Bacterial small subunit ribosomal RNA
Source: RNAcentral
AACGAACGCUGGCGGCAUGCCUAACACAUGCAAGUCGAACGAGACCUUCGGGUCUAGUGGCGCACGGGUGCGUAACGCGUGGGAACCUGCCCUUAGGUUCGGAAUAACUCCCCGAAAGGGGUGCUAAUACCGGAUAAUGUCUUCGGACCAAAGAUUUAUCGCCUUUGGAUGGGCCCGCGUUGGAUUAGCUAGUUGGUAGGGUAAAAGCCUACCAAGGCGACGAUCCAUAGCUGGUCUGAGAGGAUGAUCAGCCACACUGGGACUGAGACACGGCCCAGACUCCUACGGGAGGCAGCAGUGGGGGAUAUUGGACAAUGGGCGAAAGCCUGAUCCAGCAAUGCCGCGUGAGUGAUGAAGGCCUUAGGGUUGUAAAGCUCUUUUACCCGGGAUGAUAAUGACAGUACCGGGAGAAUAAGCGCCGGCUAACUCCGUG